This 503-nucleotide ribosomal RNA is filed under the name uncultured bacterium. RNAcentral describes it as "bacterial SSU rRNA". It matches the Rfam family "Bacterial small subunit ribosomal RNA", at positions 32 to 509 of the family's 1533-position model. The record is from RNAcentral.
AAUCAACGCUGGCGGCGUGCCUCAGACAUGCAAGUCGAACGCGAAAGUUUCCUUCGGGGAGCGAGUAGAGUGGCGCACGGGUGAGUAACACGUAGGUAAUCUACCUUCGGAUGGGGAAUAACAAUCGGAAACGGUUGCUAAUACCGCAUAAUGCAGCGGCACCUAAAUGGUGACAGUUGUUAAAGCGGGGGAUCGUAAGACCUCGCGUCUGAAGAGGAGCCUGCGGCGGAUUAGCUUGUUGGUAAGGUAAUGGCUUACCAAGGCGACGAUCCGUAACCGGCCUGAGAGGGCGGUCGGUCACACUGACACUGACAUACGGGUCAGACUCCUACGGAGGCAGCAGUCGGGAACUUUGGGCAAUGGGCGAAAGCCUGACCCAGCAACGCCGCGUGAAGGAUGAAAUCCCUCGGGAUGUAAACUUCGCAAGAAACGGGAAGAAUAAGCGAGAGUUAAUAUCUUUCGUGAUGACGGUACCGUUUGUAAGCUCCGGCUAACUCCGUGCC